RNAcentral lists this small nuclear RNA (156 nucleotides) under Mucor circinelloides 1006PhL. RNAcentral describes it as "Mucor circinelloides f. circinelloides 1006PhL U11 spliceosomal RNA". It matches the Rfam family "U11 spliceosomal RNA". Lineage: Eukaryota; Fungi; Mucoromycota; Mucoromycetes; Mucorales; Mucoraceae. The record is from Rfam by way of RNAcentral.
AAAAAGGGCGUGCCAUGAUGCCAUUCUCUAGGGAACUGGUUUGAUAUGGCGGGAGUCUUGGUUUACUCUCGCGGUAUGGCAAUCAAGACAUAUCGAGCGCAUAAUUUUUUGAUUUAGGUGGCUCGCACUAGGCUUCGCUCAAGCCGGGGCUACCUU